GCCUAGUUAGCUUAGUUGGUAGUGCGUCUGCAUUGUAAGCGCUAGGCCGCGGGUUCGAUUCUCGCCCGGGGCG
RNAcentral lists this transfer RNA (73 nucleotides) under Diaphorina citri (Asian citrus psyllid). It matches the Rfam family "tRNA". Rfam says of the family: Transfer RNA (tRNA) molecules are approximately 80 nucleotides in length. Their secondary structure includes four short double-helical elements and three loops (D, anti-codon, and T loops). Further hydrogen bonds mediate the characteristic L-shaped molecular structure. tRNAs have two regions of fundamental functional importance: the anti-codon, which is responsible for specific mRNA codon recognition, and the 3' end, to which the tRNAs corresponding amino acid is attached (by aminoacyl-tRNA synthetases). tRNAs cope with the degeneracy of the genetic code in two manners: having more than one tRNA (with a specific anti-codon) for a particular amino acid; and 'wobble' base-pairing, i.e. permitting non-standard base-pairing at the 3rd anti-codon position. The record is from Rfam by way of RNAcentral. Lineage: Eukaryota; Metazoa; Arthropoda; Insecta; Hemiptera; Psyllidae.